Non-coding RNA from Sebastes umbrosus (honeycomb rockfish), 471 nucleotides. Lineage: Eukaryota; Metazoa; Chordata; Actinopteri; Perciformes; Sebastidae. The record is from the annotation of a RefSeq genome assembly.
GGUAGGACCAAUGACGUGAAAGACCAGAUCCAUCAGAGUAUCAAUGUUCUUCCUCUCGCUCCACCCCUCUCACUGCAGACAUGAAACACUGGCUGACAAACAUCCUGAUUGUGACUCUGUGGCUAGAGUGUAAAGGAGAAGACAGAGUGAACCAGACAACAAGAGAUGUCAUCGCUACUGAAGGACACACACUCACACUGGACUGUACAUUUGAGGCAGCUAAAGCAAGUCCCACUUUGUUCUGGUACAAACAAGAAGUUCAUGAUUACCCAAAGUACAUGCUGAAAAGUUUCUCAAACAACGUAGAUAAAGCUCCAGAGUUCCAGAAAGACAGAUUUGAUGCUAGAAUCAACAAGAAAUCAGUUCCUCUGAGGAUCCAGAAGCUUCAGCUGUCAGACUCUGCUGUGUACUACUGUGCUCUGCAGCCCACAGUGACAGGAAACACCUAAACUCUGUACAAAAACCUUUGGA